RNAcentral lists this ribosomal RNA (458 nucleotides) under uncultured bacterium. RNAcentral describes it as "bacterial SSU rRNA". It matches the Rfam family "Bacterial small subunit ribosomal RNA", at positions 29 to 506 of the family's 1533-position model. The record is from RNAcentral.
ACGAACGCUGGCGGCGUGCUUAACACAUGCAAGUCGAACGGUAAGGCCUUCGGGUACACGAGUGGCGAACGGGUGAGUAACACGUGGGUGAUCUGCCCUGCACUUCGGGAUAAGCUUGGGAAACUGGGUCUAAUACCGGAUAUGAUCGCAUUCUUCAUGGGGUGUGGUGGAAAGCUUUUGCGGUGUGGGAUGGGCCCGCGGCCUAUCAGCUUGUUGGUGGGGUAAUGGCCUACCAAGGCGACGACGGGUAGCCGGCCUGAGAGGGUGACCGGCCACACUGGGACUGAGAUACGGCCCAGACUCCUACGGGAGGCAGCAGUGGGGAAUAUUGCACAAUGGGCGCAAGCCUGAUGCAGCGACGCCGCGUGAGGGAUGACGGCCUUCGGGUUGUAAACCUCUUUCAGUAGGGACGAAGCGCAAGUGACGGUACCUAUAGAAGAAGGACCGGCCAACUACGU